GAUGAACGCUGGCGGCGUGCCUAAUACAUGCAAGUCGAGCGAACGGACGAGAAGCUUGCUUCUCUGAUGUUAGCGGCGGACGGGUGAGUAACACGUGGAUAACCUACCUAUAAGACUGGGAUAACUUCGGGAAACCGGAGCUAAUACCGGAUAAUAUUUUGAACCGCAUGGUUCAAAAGUAAAAGACGGUCUUGCUGUCACUUAUAGAUGGAUCCGCGCUGCAUUAGCUAGUUGGUAAGGUAACGGCUUACCAAAGCAACGAUGCAUAGCCGACCUGAGAGGGUGAUCGGCCACACUGGAACUGAGACACGGUCCAGACUCCUACGGGAGGCAGCAGUAGGGAAUCUUCCGCAAUGGGCGAAAGCCUGACGGAGCAACGCCGCGUGAGUGAUGAAGGUCUUCGGAUCGUAAAACUCUGUUAUUAGGGAAGAACAUAUGUGUAAGUAACUGUGCACAUCUUGACGGUACCUAAUCAGAAAGCCACGGCUAACUACGUG
This 497-nucleotide ribosomal RNA is filed under the name uncultured bacterium. Its description in RNAcentral is "partial 16S ribosomal RNA". It matches the Rfam family "Bacterial small subunit ribosomal RNA", at positions 28 to 507 of the family's 1533-position model. The record is from RNAcentral.